UUAAGUUAUUAAGGGCGCACGGUGGAUGCCUUGGCACUAGAAGCCGAUGAAGGACGUUACUAACGACGAUAUGCUUUGGGGAGCUGUAAGUAAGCUUUGAUCCAGAGAUUUCCGAAUGGGGAAACCCAGCAUGAGUUAUGUCAUGUUAUCGAUAUGUGAAUACAUAGCAUAUCAGAAGGCACACCCGGAGAACUGAAACAUCUUAGUACCCGGAGGAAGAGAAAGAAAAUUCGAUUCCCUUAGUAGCGGCGAGCGAAACGGGAAGAGCCCAAACCAACAAGCUUGCUUGUUGGGGUUGUAGGACACUCUAUACGGAGUUACAAAGGACGACAUUAGACGAAUCAUCUGGAAAGAUGAAUCAAAGAAGGUAAUAAUCCUGUAGUCGAAAAUGUUGUCUCUCUUGAGUGGAUCCUGAGUACGACGGAGCACGUGAAAUUCCGUCGGAAUCUGGGAGGACCAUCUCCUAAGGCUAAAUACUCUCUAGUGACCGAUAGUGAACCAGUACCGUGAGGGAAAGGUGAAAAGCACCCCGGAAGGGGAGUGAAAUAGAACCUGAAACCGUGUGCUUACAAGUAGUCAGAGCCCGUUAAUGGGUGAUGGCGUGCCUUUUGUAGAAUGAACCGGCGAGUUACGAUUUGAUGCAAGGUUAAGCAGUAAAUGUGGAGCCGUAGCGAAAGCGAGUCUGAAUAGGGCGUUUAGUAUUUGGUCGUAGACCCGAAACCAGGUGAUCUACCCUUGGUCAGGUUGAAGUUCAGGUAACACUGAAUGGAGGACCGAACCGACUUACGUUGAAAAGUGAGCGGAUGAACUGAGGGUAGCGGAGAAAUUCCAAUCGAACCUGGAGAUAGCUGGUUCUCUCCGAAAUAGCUUUAGGGCUAGCCUCAAGUGAUGAUUAUUGGAGGUAGAGCACUGUUUGGACGAGGGGCCCCUCUCGGGUUACCGAAUUCAGACAAACUCCGAAUGCCAAUUAAUUUAACUUGGGAGUCAGAACAUGGGUGAUAAGGUCCGUGUUCGAAAGGGAAACAGCCCAGACCACCAGCUAAGGUCCCAAAAUAUAUGUUAAGUGGAAAAGGAUGUGGCGUUGCCCAGACAACUAGGAUGUUGGCUUAGAAGCAGCCAUCAUUUAAAGAGUGCGUAAUAGCUCACUAGUCGAGUGACACUGCGCCGAAAAUGUACCGGGGCUAAACAUAUUACCGAAGCUGUGGAUUGUCCUUUGGACAAUGGUAGGAGAGCGUUCUAAGGGCGUUGAAGCAUGAUCGUAAGGACAUGUGGAGCGCUUAGAAGUGAGAAUGCCGGUGUGAGUAGCGAAAGACGGGUGAGAAUCCCGUCCACCGAUUGACUAAGGUUUCCAGAGGAAGGCUCGUCCGCUCUGGGUUAGUCGGGUCCUAAGCUGAGGCCGACAGGCGUAGGCGAUGGAUAACAGGUUGAUAUUCCUGUACCACCUAUAAUCGUUUUAAUCGAUGGGGGGACGCAGUAGGAUAGGCGAAGCGUGCGAUUGGAUUGCACGUCUAAGCAGUAAGGCUGAGUAUUAGGCAAAUCCGGUACUCGUUAAGGCUGAGCUGUGAUGGGGAGAAGANNNNNNNNNNNNNNNNNNNNNNNNNNNNNNNNNNNNNNNNNNNNNNNNCUCGUUAAGGAACUCGGCAAAAUGACCCCGUAACUUCGGGAGAAGGGGUGCUCUUUAGGGUUAACGCCCAGAAGAGCCGCAGUGAAUAGGCCCAAGCGACUGUUUAUCAAAAACACAGGUCUCUGCUAAACCGUAAGGUGAUGUAUAGGGGCUGACGCCUGCCCGGUGCUGGAAGGUUAAGAGGAGUGGUUAGCUUCUGCGAAGCUACGAAUCGAAGCCCCAGUAAACGGCGGCCGUAACUAUAACGGUCCUAAGGUAGCGAAAUUCCUUGUCGGGUAAGUUCCGACCCGCACGAAAGGCGUAACGAUUUGGGCACUGUCUCAACGAGAGACUCGGUGAAAUCAUAGUACCUGUGAAGAUGCAGGUUACCCGCGACAGGACGGAAAGACCCCGUGGAGCUUUACUGUAGCCUGAUAUUGAAAUUCGGCACAGCUUGUACAGGAUAGGUAGGAGCCUUUGAAACGUGAGCGCUAGCUUACGUGGAGGCGCUGGUGGGAUACUACCCUAGCUGUGUUGGCUUUCUAACCCGCACCACUUAUCGUGGUGGGAGACAGUGUCAGGCGGGCAGUUUGACUGGGGCGGUCGCCUCCUAAAAGGUAACGGAGGCGCUCAAAGGUUCCCUCAGAAUGGUUGGAAAUCAUUCAUAGAGUGUAAAGGCAUAAGGGAGCUUGACUGCGAGACCUACAAGUCGAGCAGGGUCGAAAGACGGACUUAGUGAUCCGGUGGUUCCGCAUGGAAGGGCCAUCGCUCAACGGAUAAAAGCUACCCCGGGGAUAACAGGCUUAUCUCCCCCAAGAGUUCACAUCGACGGGGAGGUUUGGCACCUCGAUGUCGGCUCAUCGCAUCCUGGGGCUGUAGUCGGUCCCAAGGGUUGGGCUGUUCGCCCAUUAAAGCGGUACGCGAGCUGGGUUCAGAACGUCGUGAGACAGUUCGGUCCCUAUCCGUCGUGGGCGUAGGAAAUUUGAGAGGAGCUGUCCUUAGUACGAGAGGACCGGGAUGGACAUACCUCUGGUGUACCAGUUGUCGUGCCAACGGCAUAGCUGGGUAGCUAUGUGUGGACGGGAUAAGUGCUGAAAGCAUCUAAGCAUGAAGCCCCCCUCAAGAUGAGAUUUCCCAACUUCGGUUAUAAGAUCCCUCAAAGAUGAUGAGGUUAAUAGGUUCGAGGUGGAAGCAUGGUGACAUGUGGAGCUGACGAAUACUAAUCGAUCGAAGACUUAAUCAA
Molecule: ribosomal RNA, 2846 nt
Filed under: Staphylococcus aureus
Lineage: Bacteria; Bacillati; Bacillota; Bacilli; Caryophanales; Staphylococcaceae
Description: 23S ribosomal RNA
Rfam family: Bacterial large subunit ribosomal RNA
Source: RNAcentral